RNAcentral lists this ribosomal RNA (254 nucleotides) under uncultured bacterium. RNAcentral describes it as "partial 16S ribosomal RNA". It matches the Rfam family "Bacterial small subunit ribosomal RNA", at positions 524 to 776 of the family's 1533-position model. The record is from RNAcentral.
UACGUAGGGGGCAAGCGUUGUCCGGAUUUAUUGGGCGUAAAGAGCUCGUAGGUGGUUCGGUAAGUCGGAUGUGAAAUCUCCAGGCUCAACCUGGAGGGGUCAUUCGAUACUGCCGUGACUAGAGGUCGGUAGGGGAGUGUGGAAUUCCUGGUGGAGCGGUGAAAUGCGUAGAGAUUGGAAAGAACACCGAUGGCGAAGGCACUUUACUGGGCUAUUACUAACACUGAGAGACGAAAGCUAGGGUAGCAAAUGGG